CUCAAGUUGAAUAUACAGCUGACUUUGGCUGCCAAUUUGGGAGAAGUCUAAAAAUAAAACCCAAGUCCUUUUUGUAGUGUACUCCUUCCUCAUCGCCUCGGCUAGUUGGCAUGUUAUCCCUCGGCUAUUUGUGAUGCCACUCUUGCAAGACGGCGGCUUGAAGAGCUCGAUGUUCGACCUCUUCUGCACUCAACUUACAUAAGCGCUAUAUGCUCCAUCGACAUUUUCAGCCUCUCCGCAGCAGCCUCCUUCACUUCUUCCUCUGGCAUGUACUCAAUGCUACCAUCAGUCAGGUCGUCCAUCCACUCCUGCACGUCCGACCCCAUCUCCUUUGCUAUGUUUGCAUCCGAAGCUCUAACCACAAACUUGCACACCAUCGUUGCCGUUUCAUCACCAAGGUUUGAGUACCUGGAAUCCAGCAACUGUCCGGAUAAUAUGCGAGCAAACUUUAUGGAAAGGCUUCGACAACAGAGAUUUUAAGCCACUGAGGAAAGGAGACUCCCCAUACUGUUGUGCAGCAGUCGCCUUGAAACCAC
Long non-coding RNA from Salvia splendens (bonfire salvia), 536 nucleotides. RefSeq lists it as uncharacterized. NCBI's taxonomy places the organism in Eukaryota, Viridiplantae, Streptophyta, Magnoliopsida, Lamiales, Lamiaceae. The transcript has 4 exons. The record is from RefSeq and is a predicted model, not a curated record.